AGCUCAAGUCCUAAGAAGCAGAGGCCAGAUGCAGGAGCCAGCUGCAGGAUUCAGAACGAGCCAAAGCCCCAGAGCCCUGCCUGAAUAUCCACCCACACUUGAUGCAGGCCACAUGCCCAGGGAAACUCCCUUUCAACUGAUUGGCUACUCACAGUAGAUCCCAUCAUGGGGGUGAUUACAUAUCAAAUCUCAAUAGGGAAGUGAUCACAUUAUAUGACUGCCAAAACACUGAGAAUCAUGUCCCAGCCAAGUUAACACACAAUCUUAACCAUCGCAGUCCACCCCAUAGAACAGGGACUCAGUGUUGGUCUUUGCUGCAGUGGCUGUAGCCAAGUUGGCCUUGGUGAGUGGAAGUCCAUGUUGCUGGGCCCAUGCAUAACUUCCACACCAUGGAUUAGCAGUGCCCUCUUUACUACAGGAAGCAGAGUCAUCAACAUCUUUAAGACUAAACAGACUUGAAAACCAAUUUGGAAAAUUUAUCCUUAUAAUUUUGUUUCUCUAGAACCACUCAGUACCAGAUGCCUUAGGCUGGGUUCUCUAGAGAUACAAAACCAAUAAAAUGUAUAAAUAUAUAGAGAGAGAGAGAGAGGAGAGAGAUUUAUGUAAAGGAAAUGGCUCACAUGGUUGUAGAGGCUGUAACGUCAGAAGCCCGUGGGUCAGGAAAGAGACUUCUCAUGAUUCACAUAGCUGCCGGGGCUGGCAAAUCCAAGAUUGGUAGGCGGGAGAGCAGGGCUGUUGCUCACAGGCUGUGAAGAACGAAUGCAAAGAUUGGCAGGCAAGACAGCAGGUAAGCUGCUAGCUCAAGUCCUAAGAAGCAGAGGUCGGAUGAACAGGAGCCAGCUGCAGGAGCCGGAAUGAGCAAAAACCCCAGAACCCUACCUGAACAUCCACCCCUAAUGGAUGCAGGCCACACACCUAAGGAAACUUCCUUUCAAAUGAUUGGCUACUCACAGCAGAUCCCAUCAUGGGGGUGAUUACAUAUCAAAUCUCAACAGGGAAGUGAUCACAACAUUAUAUGACUGCCAAAACACGAGCAUCAUAGCCCAGGCAAGCUGACACACAGUCUUAACCAUCAUACUCCCUAAGCUCUUUUUGCCUUUUCCCUUGGGUACAUGACUGUGUAGCAAAAGACUGGUUUUCCCAUUCUUCUUUGCAGUUAGAUGUGACCAAGUUCUCAGUGAUGGAAUGUGAAAGGAGGUGGGGGUGCCAUCUCAGGGACUAUAACUUUAGGCAUUGGGCUGUUUCAUCUGCAUCCUUUUUCUUUCCCACUGGCUGAACCUAGACAUGGUGGUAACCCAGGUUCAGCCAUAUGGAUGAUAAGAAUGCCCUAGGGGUGAGGAAGAAACAUGGAAGCUGUCUUAGGUUAUCUAGUGCUGCUAUAACAGAAAUACCACAAGUAGAUGUCUUUAACAAAGAGAAAAUUAUUCUCUCUCAGUCUGGUAGGCAUGAAGUCCAAAUUCAGGGUGUCAGUUCCAGGGGAGGGCUUUCUCUCUCCGUUGGCUCUAAGGAAGGGCCCUUGUUAUCAAUCUUCCCCAGUCGAGGAGCUUCUCAGUACAGGGACUCUGGGUCCAAACGAAGCUUUAUUCUCCUGGCUCUUGUUUCUUGGUGGUAUGAGAUUUCAUUUCUCUCUGCUUGGUUCUCUCUCUCAUAUCUCAAAAGAAAUUGACUUUAGACACAACUCAAUCUUAUAGAUUGGGUCUUGCUUCAUUAACAUCAUAGAGGCAGGAUUUACAACACAUAGGAAAAUCAUAUCCGAUGACAAAAUAGUGGACAAUCACACAAUACUGGAAAUCAUGGCCUAGCCAAGCUGACACACAUUUUUGGGGAACAUAAUUCAAUGCAUAACAUAAGCAUCCUGAGUAUCUGUAAUCCGUGUAAAGCAGGACUAUUCCACAGACCUGAAACGCUCAGUGCAGAAGAGAGAGCAAUAAACUAUGUUUGUAAAGUCACUAUAUUUUGGGAUUGCUUUGUUUCAGCAGUUUAACAUUACUCCAGUGAAUACAUUCAGAUACAUCUGUGUUAAACAGAAUUACAAAAAUACGUUUUAAAGCCAAAAUAGAAAUAAUUUACAGCUAAUUUCUAUCACUGUUCCCCUCCAUUAUCAUCGAUGAUUGAAAGCCAAUUGGAGCCCAACAGGGAAGAUGAAGUCCUGCAAGUGGGCAACUAUGUGUUGCAAAAUGCAUGGCAUCUAAACUAAUACUUGUCAAAUAUGAGUUACAACAUAUUUUCUUGUAACUUUAUAGUGUAAUAUCUGUCUGUGCUUUUAUUUCUAGUGAAAAUAAAUAAUUUACUUAAGCUAUCUCUCCCAAAAAAAGGAUUCUGUUAAAUAGAAAACUUAGCUUGAUUUACUCAGCUAUUUUCAGUGAUGGGAUUUUUUUCUCUGGCAAGUUGAGAUGAUGCCCCACAAUGUUCUUCUGUCCUGAACAGGGACUGUUCUCGUUUGCCAUCCUAGUAACUCAGGAAUCAAGAGGAGCAGAACCAGUCAUUUUUUCCACAAUUUUAUUUCAUCUCACUCUUCAUAUGUCUUUGGUCCCCACCAGUUCACCUGGCCUUUUCUAAGACUGAUUUCAGAUGGCAAAGGGCAAGCAUGGAGGGGUCAACAUGGAUAUUCAUCAAUUAAUUUGACAGGGCCUUCUAGAUGUAAUACACACAAAUAGAGACCAAGCAGUGUAAUGAUGACUAUAAGCAUCUCUCCAGACUGAAGACCUUUGAGGUGAUAUCUCAUCCAUCUCCUGCCACAGGCUCUCUGCUUCCUAUGACACCCAGUGUCUGUCUGACUAUAAACAUGUUCGUUAUAUUGAAUAGGCUCAACCAAUGAUGUGCGGUAGAUAAUUGAUUUAUGCAAGCAAUGGUAGUAUUUUAACAACUGAUUGUAUGUGUAUCAAUCUGGGUAGAAAAAGCAUUGCCCAGAUUCCAUGCCACUGGCACUGAUGGUCAGGCAUAGGAUACAUCCUCUGUUAAGUUGAAGUGUGCCCCCCAAAGAUAUAUUGAAAUCCUAACCUCUCCCCCCAAUACUUGUGACUAUUAUCUAGUUUGGAAAUGGGGUCUUUGAAAUUGUUAUUAGUGAGUUAACAUGAGGUCAUACUUGAGUAGGGUGAGCCUUAAUGCAUUAUGACUGGUGUCCUUAUAAGAAGAGGAGACACAGAGAGGUACAGAGGGAAGACCCUCAUGCAAAGACAGAGGCAGAGUUUGGAGUGACUCAUCUACAAGCUAAGGAAUGCCAAAGAUUGCCAGGAACUGCUAGAAAUUAGAAAGAGCAAGGAAAGAUCUUCCCCUAGAGUCUUCAGAGAGAGCAUUGCCUUGUUGAUACUUUGACUUUGGGCUUCUAGCCUCAAGAACUGUGGGACAAUAAAUUUCUGUUCUUUUAAGCCACUUUGUUACAGCAACACUGUUGCUAUUGUUGUGUGCCCCCAUGUCCAUUCUGACUCGUAACAACCCUAUAGGACAGACUAGAACUGCCUCAUAGGGUUUCCUAGGCUGUAAUAUCACUAAUAUCACAUGCCAAGUAAAAUUUUGCUGAAGAUCAUUCAAAAGUGGCUGCAGUAGUACAUCAACAGGGAACUUCCAGAAAUUCUAGCUGGAUUUAGAAGAGGAUGUGGAACAAGGGAUAUCAUUGCUGAUGUCAAAUGGAUCCUGGCUGAAAGCAGAGAGUACCAGAAAUAUGUUUACCUGUGUUUCAUUGACUACACGAAGGCAUUCGACUGUGUAGAUCAUAGCUAAUUACGGAUAACAUCAUGAAGAACAGGAAUUUCAGAACACUUAAUUGUGCUCAUGAGGACCGGCUACAUAGAUUGAGAGGCAGUCGUUGAAACAGAACAAGAGGAUACUGACUGGUUUAGUCAGAAAAGGUGUGAAUCGGGGUCGUAUCCUUUCACCAUACUUAUUCAAUCUGUAUGCUGAGCAAAUAAUCCGAGAAGCUGGACUAUAUGAAGAAGAAUGGGGCAUCAGGAUUGGAGGAAGACUCAUGAAAAACCUGCCUUAUGCGGAUGACACAACCUUGCUUGCUGGAAGUGAAGAGGACUUAAAGCACUUACUGAUGAAGAUCAAAGACCACAGCCUUCAGUAUGGGUUAUACCUCAACAUAGAGAAAACAAAACUCCUCACAACUAGACCAAUAAACAACAUCAUGAUAAAUGGAGAAAAGAUUGAAGUUGUCCAGAAUUUCAUUCUAAUUGGAUCCACAAUCAACACCUGUGAAAGCAGCAAUCAAGAAAUCAAAUCCAUCGUAUUGGGUAAAUCUGCUGCAAAAGAACUCUUUAAAGUGUUAAAAUCGAAGAUGUCACCUUGAAGACUAGGGUGCAUUUGACCCAAGCCAUGGUGUUUUCAAUCGCCUCAAAAGCACGCAAAACCUGGAAAAUGAAUAAGGAAAAGCAAUAAUUGAUGCUUUUGAAUUAAGGUGUUGGCUAAGAAUAUUGACUAUACCAUGGACUGCCAAAAAAAUGAACAAAUGUAUACAACCAGAAUGCUCCUCAGAAGCAAGGAUGGCAAGACUACAUCUCACAUACUUUGGACUUGUUAUCAGGAGGGACCAGUUCCUGGAGAAGAACAUAAUGCUUGGUGAAGUAGAGGGUCAGUGAAAAAGAGGAUGACCGUAAUGAGAUGGAUUGACAUGGUGGCUGGAACAAUGGACUCAAGCAUAAUAGUGAUUGUGAGGAUGUUGCAGGACCAGGCAGUGUAUCGUUCUGUUGUAUUUUGGGUUGCUAUGAGUUGGAACUGACUCGACUGCACCUAACAACAGCAAUGUUACAGGAGAAGAUAGCCAAGUCUUUUCUCCUGAGGAGCAGCUGAUUGGUUUGAGCCAUUUACCUUUUGGUUAGCAGCUAAGCACUUAAUCAUUGCCCUCACCAGGUCUCCUAGGAAACUAAUGUACCCUCUUUUCUAAUCCCCACCCUCAAAUCUAUUUUCCAUUUUUCAUCUCAAUGCUUAGUCAUUAGUAGUGUGAACUGAUCGUUUAUUUCCACCGAUCUUCAGCAAAGGUAUUGAUUAGGGUAUUUACCCUCCAGGUCUGGAAUGCUUUGAUGACCAUGGGAUAUAACGAGUUGUUUUGUUUUCAGUAUCGGAACCAGGAGGUUAGGGAAUUCAUUUCUUCUGAAUUUUCCUAAAACUUUUCAACCUGUUUUCGUCAAGUACAUUCUAAGUCUCUGCAAUCCCUCCAUGCUCUAUCAAAGACAGAUCUUUUGCUAGAUCCUCAACCCGUUUCAGUUCUACAUUGAAAAUUAUGAAAAAAUACUGUUAGUCACUAAUUUGAUAAAGUCCAAAGAAAGAGAUAUUUACUUAAGGUAAAACUGAAAGAAGUCUCUCCAGAGCAAUAAGAACAUAUCAAAUAAAUAAAUUCUAUUCAACUUUGGGGGUGAAUGUUGUGACAAAAUAUUAUUUUGAAGUUCAAAAAAGACUAGUUCUAGCUAACUUGUGACCAGAGUUGUGCAUACAAUGACUUUGCUGGUCCUGUACAGGGACACAACAGGGUGGUAGAAUGGACGGGAGAGACAGAAGCUCUAAAUCUGAACUUCUGCUCUGCAGCCUUCCUAUUGGGUGAUCUGGAGCAUUUUCUUAAAGCCUUUUUACCCUCAUCUUCCUUCUCUGUGAGACAAGGACAAUGAUUCCUACAAUGCAAGGUUGCCACGAGGUAUAAUGGAAUCCCCUUAGUUGGGUGCUCUGGAAGGGGACUGGCAAUAAGUAUGAGAUCAAUGUGUACUGGUUCCCACCUUCCACCAGAUUAAUUAAUGAUUCUUUUAUUUGUUUACCCAUUUGUUGAGAUUGGUUAUCUUUGAUUUCAUUUCAUCACUGGAAACACUGAGUACUAGAUGUUUCCAUUUCUUCUGCAUUAUAGAGCAAAUCAUAAUGAAAAGCUAAGGCUCAAAUUCAUUACUCAGCUUUCCUUCGUUUCUGCCAUCAUUGUUGUUAGGUGCCCUUGAGUCAGUUCCAACUCAUAAUGACCCUAUGUACAACAGAACAAAACAUUGGCCUGUCCUGUGCCAUCUUCACAGUUGUUGCUAUAUUUGAGCCCAUUGCUUCAGCUACUGUGUCAAUCCAUCUCAUCGAGAGUCUUCCUCUUAUUUAUUGACCCUCUACUUAACCGAGCCUGUUGUCCUUCUUCCAGAGGCUAGAGUUCCUGGUCUCUAACCUAGACUAUUCAGCCAGCUGUGGCUGCUCAUUGGAGGCUGCAGGUCAUCUAAGAAUACUUAUAGUUUACACUCAUAAAACCUUUUUGAUAAAAAUUUUUCACUGACAUGAACUCUUUCUUCUACUCAAACAACUUUACUCGCUAUCUCCCACAAGACAUUGAACUUUCAUACUCUUGUGGCCUUUGUUCACAGAACUUGUUUAUCUAGAAUGGCUUCCUUCUCUCUCUGCUUACAUAAUCUUAUCACACUACCUUUCCUUUUGCAGCUCACAUCUUGCUUUCUUUAUGACGUUUUCCCUAAUUUGCACCUGGAUUGACUUCAAGUUCUGGUGAGCUCCCAAAAAGCUUGUUAUCUUUAUUACUUAUUUGACAUUUAACAUUUUCCAUCUUCUGUGAAGCUACUGGAGUGUGGCAGAACAAUCCUGGUCUAGGUGUCAGCAGCCCUGAGUGUUGGGCUGACAGCAGGAUUAUCUCUCGCUGUAACCUGGGCUUCCUUGCCUGUAAAACUGAGGCAAUAAUACAUACACAAGUGGUUUGCUUUGAGAACCCAAAGAAAUGUUAAAACACUUAUAAUCAAUAAAAUCUUGUACAAGGAAAGGGAUUAUUACUAUUAUAAGCACAUGUUUUACUGUAUUCAUUUUUGUUUCUUCCAAAAUACCCAGCACAGUGCCUUGAAUAUAAUAUCAAUAAAAUGAAUGAAUGAACCAAGUAGGAAUCUGAAGACCUGGAGACAGUUGUGCCAGCUGCACACUUUGGCCUCGCAUCUGAAUUCUGUUCACUCUUUUGUAAAAUGAGGAUUAGUCUAGAGUCUAGACCAGUGAGUAUUAACCCUGGUUGUAUAUUGAGAAUACCUGGGGGAACUUUGAAAAAAUGCACGUGCCCAGGUCCCCCUUCAAAUCAAUUCAGGUUCUCCGAGUUUUGAAACAACUACAACUUACAUAGAAGUUGGAAAUAGAGGACAAAAAUGUUUUCUUUCCCUGAACCCCUAAAGGUUGUUGUUUGCCGUCCGGUUAAUUCAGACUCAUAGCAACGCUAUACACUGCGGUGCAAAUUUCUAUAAACAAGUACAUCCUCCUACAUAACAGCAGCAUAGUCAUCAAGAUCUGAUGGAUAACGUGGCUACAUUAUAUCUAUCUAAUCCUCAGAUACCGUUACAUUUCACCCAUUGCCUGCAAAAACGUCUUUGUAAUUGGAACCUGUUCAGAGUCACACAUUACCAUGUCUUCUUAGUCUCCUUUAGACUGAUGCCGCCAUUCCUCAGUAUUUCCUCAGUUUUCAUGACCUUGACACUUUUCUAGGUUGCAGUCAUUAAUUUUAUUCUAUUAAUUAAAAAAAUCUUUUUAGUCACAUAACAUAAAUGAUUUUAGAAACAUAAACGAACCAUUUUAAAAGGUAUAAUUCUGUGACAUUUACUAUACAUUGUGCAAUCACCUGUCUAGUUCCAAAACGUUUUCAUCACCCCAAAAGAAAACCCCAUACCAUUGAGUAGUCAUUCCCUAUUCCCCAACAACCCCCCCACACACACACCAAAUUCUCUGUCAACCACUAAUCUGCUUUCUGUCUGUAUGCAUUUGCUUAGUCCAGAUAUUUCAUAGAAAUAGAAUCAUACGCUACGUGACCUUUUGUGAAUGGCUUCUUUAACUUAGUGCAUAAUGUUUUCAAGGUUCAUCCACCGUUGUAGCCUGUAUAAACACUUCACUUCUUUCUAUAGCUGAGUAGUAUUCCAUUGUGCAUGUGUGUAUUAUAACUCGUUUACCCAUUCAUCUGUUGAUAGACAUUUGGGCUGUCUCCAGCUUUUGGAAAGUGCUGCUGUGAAUGUUCAUGUCCAAGUAUUUGUCUGAGUACCUGUUUUCAAUUCAUCUGGGUAAAUACCUAGGAGCAGAAUUGCUGGGUCGCUUAGUAAUUUUAUAUUUUAACGUUUUGUGGUACCAACAAGCCGUUUAUUUUCUAGAAUAUCACUCAGUUUGGGUUUGCUUGAUGCUUCCUUAUGAUUAGAUUCAGAUUAUGUAUCUUUGGCAAGAAUAUCACAGAAGUAACAUAGGGUUCUUCCCACUGAGGCACAUGAUUUCAGUUUGCCCCAUUAUUACUGAGAUGCACUUUGGUCACUGGAUUAGAAUGAUGUCUGUGUGGCUUUUCAACUGCGAAGCUAAUCUUUUCCCCUUUGUAAUUGAGAAGCAUUUGCUGGGAUACUUUGAAACUCUGUAAAUGUUUGAACCUCACCAAACGUCCAACAUAUUUAUUAAUAUCUGUAUGGAUUUAUAAUUUUCUAUUUUAGUCAAUGAGUUUAAAUCUGUUACCAUAAUUAUUUAUUUUAAUGCCCAAAUUGUCCCAAAUCUGGCCAGUGGGAGUCCCAUCAAGCUGGCUCCUGUGUCCUUUUCACAUGUACUCAUCAUUUUUUGAGCACUUUCUUCUUCCUGCCACAACAAGGUGAUACAGAUUCAUUGGGCGCUUUCCUUGCCCCAGGCCUGGAAUCGCCAUCUCUCCAAGGAACUCUUGUUUUUUUCAGUGGAGAAUGGUAUUUGAAGCAGAGCUCAGGGUGUUGGGCGUGCUUAUUGCUACUGGGCUAUUUCAGCUGCUAGGCCCUCUCAAUAGAUAGAGCUAGUGAGCACGUGACUGUGUAAAUCUGUGUAUACACACACUUCACAUCUUUAUUUAUCUCUGUCUACCCGUUUUGAAAACUGUGAGUUCACACUGAUAACUACAAUCCCAGUCCAAAACAAGGUUUAUUCUAGUUUUUCUCCUUUCAAUGUUUGUCAUUCCCUUCUCAGCUUUACGACUUUAGGAAUUUGAAAAUAAAUCAUAUGGAACACCAACAAAGAUGUUCUUCAUUUUCAUUGCUCAGCACACUAAAAAAAAAUCACAAAUUUAUUAAACAAGAUACAUCUGUUUUAUGUAGCUCUCUUAUGUAAAGCUUCUUACAAAAACACCCAUGCACACAUACACAUUCACACCUGCUCAUAAACUUCAGAUUAAGAAAAAGCACAUUCUAACAGACAUUUAAGUGUUGCUUCGAUGCGGAUUUAUGAAACUGUGCUAUCCUUUACAGCCAUUUAAUUGUAAUUGAAGCAUCACUUUAAAUAAAGGAAUUUUUUUUUUUUUUUAAUAUGGGAGGAAAAAUAAUCUUUCUACGUUUUAAAACCAGAAAUAGGAUACAUAAAUAGAUUUGUCCCUUGUCAGGAGAGGUGGAGUGGCAGUCCCUCUACAAGAUGGGAAAAGUUGUGCAUUCAGCAAUCCGUGACGAGCACAUGUUGAGCCAGACAGCACUGCGCUGGAACGCCGCUUGCCUGAUGGACACCCAGAGAUGGGAUUAUUUGUGUUGGCAAAGCUUGCCUCUGUCACAAUUGAGAGAAGGCAGCUCCCGUGGAUGGAGACAGCCACUUGAGAAUGUUCAUAUCAUCUGAGCAGCCCUCUGCUGGAACAGUGUGUGGGUACCACACCGAGGGAGGUUGGGGCCUGGCCUGGUCCUCCUUUACCCUGUGCCAUCGGAUUUGCGAAGAGAGGCUGGAACAGAGGAUGAAAUCUGGAGCCAGUGCAGAAUGCAGGCUGGGAGGAGAUGCCAACAUAGUCUGAAGUGUCCACCUGACACAAGAAGCUCACUCCUCACCAGCAUCCCUCUCCAACCCAUUUUCCAGUCCAAUCCCUGUCCGAAGAGUUGGCUUUUGGAAUGGUUCCUGUCCUGGGCCAACAGAAGUUCUGGAGGCCAUGAUCACCGGGGUCCUUCUAGUCUCAGUCAGACCAUUAAGUCUGGUCUUUUUAUGAGAAUUUGGGGUCUGCAUCCCACUGAUCUCCUGCUUCCUCAGGUGUUCUCUGUUGCGUUUCCUGUCAGGGCAGUCAUCUAUUGUAGCUGGGCACCAUCUAGGUCUUCCGGUCUCAGGCUGAUGUAGUCUCUGGUUUAUGUGGCCCUUUCUGUCUCUUGGAUUGUAAUUACCUUGUGUCCUUGGUGUUCUUCAUUCUCCUUUGAUCCAGGUAGGUUGAGACCAAUUGAUGCAUCUUAGAUGGCUGCUUGCUAGCGUUUAAGACCCUAGUCCUUACACAUUUUUUAAGAUUAAGAAAAAUAAUUUAUGUAUUGUUGUUAAGUGCCGUCAAUUUUCCACUGUUGAUGACAGAGUAGAACUGCCCCACAGGAUUUUCUAGGCUGUAAUAUUUAUGGCAGCAGAUUACCAGGUCUUUUGCCAACGGAGUCUCUAGGUGGGUUCAAACCACCAGCCUUUUGGUGAGCAGCUGAGAGCUUAACCGUUGCAUCACCAGGGCUCCAUAAUGUAUGUAUACCACUUAGCAUAGUGCCUGGCACAUGGUUAUCAUAAUUACCAACAUUUACAGAGUGAGUCUUCCUUCCUAGACGCUUAACUCAUUUGAUACAUACGACAGUCCCUGUGGGGUUGGUUCUGUUAUCAGUCUCAUCUGUCAAGUUAGGAAACUGAGGAGCAGAGAGGUCACCUGCCAAGAAGUGGUGGAGCUGGAAUCUGAGCCCAGGCAGUUUGGCUCCUGAAGCUUCUAUCUUAAUCACAAAGCAAUGAUACUGUCAAUAUUACUCAGCAUUAUUACAGUAUUAUUCUGUUCUCAGUAAUAGUCCUCUCAGUUGUAGACACCUAGCGUGUGUUGGUGCUCACCUCCCCCUUUCCCUGUUAUCAAGGUAAUCUGUUUCUAUGAAUCGCUUACUUAGUUUUGGUACAGUUAUUGUUUACAAGCCAAAGAAAAACACAGAUCUCCUAUAAAUAAAUAUUGACUUAAGUGUGACAUCUGUUGUGAAGAAGAGUUGAAAAGUAACUACAUAAUCAGCAGUUCUUCUGUUUUUAAGUAUUUUCUUCAAUUCCUUUUGUCACGGGUUUCCUAUCCGAGGUAGCAGAAAUAGAGGGGUGGUGGCAUCUGAUCUCUGUAAGAAGACACUUUCCUUAAUGCAGAAUUUUCAUUUUAAUUAGCCCCAGAAUCAUACUGAUUAGUAAAAACACCAUGCUACUUGGCAAGAAAUGUUGAAUCAUUUUUUGUUAAUAAAAACCACCAAAAACAAAACUUGUUGAACACCGUCAGGGCUGUAAAGACUCAUUUUCAAGCUACUGACUGAUUUAAUGUGCUGAGGUUCAAACAUAAGACAUACAAACACGAGCUUUUCCAAUAAUUUUGCAACCAUUUGAAGAAAAUUUAGUUUUUUUCUUUUGUUCUAAUACGGGCAAGUGUAUGCUUCCUGACAGAUGUCAAAACACCAAAUUUUUACGUCCUUCGCUUUCAAAAGACAAUGAGUAUCAUGCAUUGUUUAGAGAAUAUUUGACAGGGGAGAUAGUCUAUCAUUCUCACCAUGUAUUUAGCUAAGAGAAAUUUGCUCUAGAUAUUCCACUGCGUUCUCUUAAAGAAGCCAUCAUUAAUCAAUAAAAAAAGUGGAUUUUUUUUUUCUCAAGAACGUCUCUGGUGAAAAAGCCUGUUAUAUUUACAUGAACACAGGAAUGAUUAUAAAUAAUCAUUCCUGAUUGCUAAAUUCUCUUUUUAUUUAGCUGUUUUAGCAGUAUGCUAAUGACAGGAAGAAAACAUACAUAUAAAAUAUUGUAAGCAUCAGGACUUGGUAGGAGAGAGUAAGUUUGACUUCUGACCAUGAAAUCUUAUUCUGUGGUUGCCUUCUUAAUGGCAUCUCUUGAGGUCAGUGGCUUUGAAUUCUCCCAAUUUUGUGGGGUCACUCUGGCAGCAUUGACCAAGUAGAAAAUAUUCAGCUAGCGAAAACAAUAGCAGAAGUCACCCUUUAAGUGUCCUGCCUUCUAUAUCAUGCAAUUGACUCCAAGGCUCCCCACUAAGAUGUCACUGUUUGACCAGUUUGCUUUAAAACAGCUUAAUUAGCUGAAAGGAAAGCGAUGUCUGAGCAUGUUUGUGAGAAAAAAACAAAAAGCUCUCUCCUUUCAGAAAGCUCAUGCUCUAUCUUGUCGGAAAUCUUUGGUUCUGAAACAAAACAACAUUCCUUUCAUACACAAUCAAGUCCUUGACAACAAAUUUUCCUGGAUUGGGGAGGCAACUGGCUUAGAGCUGUCUCCAUGUGGGCGUUCUGGGUCAGGUUCUACGUAUCCAGGUCCACCUUAUAUAAUCUGAAUUGCCUAUGCCAUUGCAAGAAAAAUUCAUGCUAUUAGCAUGUGAGUUUAUUUCCUCUACCCAGAAAGAUCUAAAACCGGCAUUACUGCAUUGAGACAAUAUUGAUUUUCUGAUCAAACGGUAGCAAUGUUGGAGUAACUACCUAUUCCUUUGCAUUCAUUUGCUCCUGGUUAAAAUGAUAAAUCAUCCGAAGAAACAACUCUGAUUUUAUUCUCAGGGUGAUACGGCUAGAAAACCUUUGUCCUAACACUUCAAAUAUUCCUGAUUCAGCGUGGACAUCCUUUGAAUGCCCACCACCCACUGCCUCUGGAGGUGGAGCCUGCAGUGACCAAGGAAGUAGACUUAAAAAAAAAAAAAAAAAAUUUUUUUUUUAGGCCCAUUUUAAGUUUCUAAAGUAAGCAAAUUCACUGGCUAAGAGGGAGUUGCACUUAUCCUUUUUUUUUUUUUUGGCAGGUAUUUCUGUGGCUAACCUUGUCUGAGAGACACAGGAAACCCGUGUUUUCAUUUUUUCAAGGCAAAUUGACAAGAAAUUGUUUUUGUUUUGAUGGGGCUGGUGGAAGCAGCUACAGAAAUCUUGAGUCCUUUUAAAGCAGUUCUGAGGAAUUCCUGGUGGCGUAGUGGUUAAGUGCUACAGCUACUAGCCAAAGGGUUGGCAGUUUGAAUCCACCAGGCGCUCUUUGGAAACUCUAUGGGGCAGUUCUACUCUGUCCUAUAGGGUCGCUAUGAGUCGGAAUCAACUCGACGGCACUGGGUUGGGCUAAAGUAGUUCCAAAGGCCAACCAGUGACUCAUGAGAGAAACUGGAGACCCACCUGCCCAUUGCCAAAAGCUUUGUGGGUUUAUUGCAUGUGUGUGUGUGUUUUAAGCCACAGAAGAAUAUUGCCAUAUUCCAAACAAAAUCCAACUGUAAAAAUCAAAUAAUGCCAACAAUUGGCCACUGCGGUAUGGCCUGGCUACCCAUUCAAUUUCUUCCAGAACCUCUUGUCUCCAUAGCAAUUAUCUGACAAACACAUAAAUUCCCAGUCAACUCUAGUUUAUGUUCGUAACUUUUGAAUCAUAAUGAGUACCAAAUUUCAACCAAAGCGCAUUUGGUUUUUUAUUGCUCUGAGCUCUGUAAUUUGGUGUAACUCUGUAAAUAGCAGCGGGAGUGUGUGUGUAUGUGUGUGUGUGUCUUUUGCCUAAAAACAAUGACACACUUCCUAAAGCAACAUUGGAUUUUAAAUUGGGAACCUAUCCACAUUUUUUUUUUAAUGAAGAGAAGGAUGACUAAAUCAGAAAAGAGUUUAUAAUUGGCAAUAUAAAUCUUUCACUGAUUUCAGGAGGUCACCAGAUGAACUGAUGCAGACUUCAGACCCGUCUGCUCUUUUGGCAACCACUGCCUUUUCGGAGCCUUCUCAUUGGCUCACGCUAAUCACACGCGAGGUCUCCUGGAAGCGAUUAGUGCCUCUCUGGGCUGAAACGGGCAGAGCGGGGACGACGCUGCAUUGCACAACUCCAAGCGAACGAAGGCCUGCGCAGAGCUCCGAGCUAUGUGUAACCUUUCAGAGGCCAACAGACGGACGAUGCAGGGAGAGUGCCAUGUAACUAGAGUGUGGGCAGCAAGGAACAACCUUGCAAGGCCAAGGAGCACGUUUUCCAGGCCCUGGAAAGCUGGUGGACAGUUUGCUGUGAAUUGCUGAUAUUUUCAGAAGAGGGGGUUAGUUGCCCACAAGGUGGCAACGUUAGUGCCAACUUCAGAAGGACGCCCUUUGCUAGUUAAGCUUUGGAGGUGAGGUGCUGUGCAGGAGAUGUAAACCCAAGUGAAGUCGUCUCUUUAGUACAAGUAAACAACAGGGAAGAGAGUGGGCGAAUAGUGUUGCAGUAACUGCAGGCUAUUUUGCUGUCAGGCAAGAGGCCAAAGGCCAAGUUCCUUGGACAGUUCUGGCCAUGAAUCAAAUAACAGACGUGAUACCGGCACCCAGUGCACUGUUUUAUUGAUGACUGCGAUUGUAAACUGUUGGCUUUCUUAAUGGCUGAUGGUGUGCUACAGAUUCCAGGCUGAGCUUAGACUAUCUGCAAGUUCUGAGCUGGGAACUGGAACCAUAGCAAACUUCCUCCUGUUAUUCAUAAGCUGUAAAAAAUAUUUCCAUGUUUAGUAACCCAGAGGAAUAAGACACUUAGUCUUUUUGCAUCAACACAGGCUUGGGAGGCAGAAUGUAAUCUAAGCACAAUAUUCUCGAUGUUCAUGACCAGUUUCUUGCCUUUCAUAAAAAAAUUUUAAAAAAUUACCUUUCUAUUAAAUAGGGAAGGUUUCACCUUAACUCUGAAACUCUCUUCUAGUUAGAUAGGGUCAGCAGCUUCAGGGAAUUAUGCAGAUACAAGAUGUGAGUAUAUAUACUCAACCUGAAAACACUCCCUCACAUUUGUAAAGCACUGUAAAAUUAACAACAACAACAAAAAACAAACCCGCUGCCUUUGAGUCAGUUCUGACUCUUAGAGAUACCAUGUGUUACACAGUUAGGUUUUCUUGGCUAUAAUCUUUACCGAAGCAGAUGGUCAAGUCUUUCUUCCGUGGCGCCGCUGUGUGAAUUUGAACCAACAACCUUUAGGUUGAAUUCCUCAGAUGUCCUGAGAUUCCUCAAACCUCUGACAAUGCCCAACCAUAAAGGGCAAGGGCAGAAGCAGUCUUUCCACUGAACAAGCAAAGCAGAGAAUGGACACCAAAAAUGUGGUUGCACUUAGCUGAGUGAAUGAAAGAACUCUGAGUAAGAUGGCACCAGCGGAGACUAGAAAUACAUAUUUUGAUGAUGUCCAUACAUACAAGACUCAAUAAACCAAAAGUCGAAAGCAGACAGAGAAAGGGAACUCCUAGCAUGGAAAAGAAACCACCAAAGGGACUUCCAAGGAGGAAGAAGGAGUGGAAGAUGAAUCACCUGUUAUGUCUCUUGUCUAGGGCAGAAGGGCCAUUGUUGGAGUGUCAAAUGGGCAUCUCUCUCAUCUCCCAGAUUGAUGGCAUAGUCUCAGACUUCCCACAUAGACAAGAUAAACUAAAGGCUUCUAUGGACAGAUAGUAGACACAUGUUAAUUCUUCUGAUGGGAAAGGCAAUACACAAUAUGGAGGAAUUUGGCACAACUUGACCAAGGGUCAUUAUGAGUUGGAACCAACUGGAUGGCACCUAACAACAAAAGGUCAUAAAGGAUAUUCUACAUCCUAUUUUGGUGAGUAGUGUCUGGGGUCUUCAAAGCUUAUGAGUGGCCGUCUAAUUUACAACUAUUGGUCUCUUCCCGUAUGGAGCAAAGGGGAGUGAAGGAACCCAAAGACUCAAGGAGGAAUUUAGUCUACAGGACUAAUGGCCCAUGUGAACCACAGCCUCUUCUAGCUUGACAACAGAAAAAUAAAUGGUGCCCAGUACCACUACCAACUGUUCUGACCAGGGACACAAUAGAAGGUCCUGGCUAAAAUGGGAGAAAAAUGUAGAACAAAACUCAAAUUCAUAAAAAAGACCAGACUUACUGAACUGAUAGAGACUAGAGGAACCCCCGAGACUAUUGCCCUAAGAUACCCUUUUAACUUGGAGCUGAAGCCACUCUCAGAGGUCACCUAUGAACUAAGUAAUAGAUUGGCCUAUAAAAUAAACAAUAACACCUGUGAAGAAUGUGUUCCUUUAAACUAUCAACUAUAUGAGACAAAACUGUCAACAUUUAUACAAAAACCAAGAUGAGAAGGCAAGGAAGGGCAAGGAAACUGGAGGUAUGGAAACGUGGUAGGAGGGGUGGAAAUGAUGAGAGCGCUGACACUUUACGGGGAUUGUAACCACUGUCACAGAACAAUCUGUUUAUGAAUUGUUGAAUGGGAAUCUAAUUUGCUGUAUAAGUUUUCCUCUAAAACACAAUAAAAUAUUUAAAAAAGAGUACAUGAGUGGGCAUUUGUCUUCUCUUUUUCUUCCGUAAGCUCAAACUACGAUGAGAAUUAUAUAAUAAAUGGAAGAAAAAAUACAUUGGUUUAUAGUCAAUUCAGAUCCAUUCAGUUAGUAUAAAUAAUGGCUAAAAAGUGGUGAGAAAGCCAUCUGUCACUUUAAGACAAACACACAGUUACUUUUAAGAAAAGAAGUUCAAGAAGAGUUAAUUUAUCCCAAGGCUCUUAAGCUUGGAAUGCAUUUGAGAAAAGUGGCUGAGCUAUUCUCACCCAGAGGAUAAAUUAUGCUGUCAUGAAUCCAGGUUUUUGUUUUGCUUUUUUUUUUAAAAAAAAAAAAUUAUACAGGAUCAUUCCGUUUAGGGCUUAUACUCUUGUGAUUCCCCUGGUUCCACCAGGAUAUUUGAACAAGUAUCAUUUUGAACGAAGCAGCAUAUGGCCAGGUACUUUAUUGGUAUUGCGUGCCUGUGUAUAUAUGUGUUUGCGCUAUAAAAUACACACAUGCACGCACACUAACGCACACGCGCACACGCACACCUUUUUUUGGUUCUAAAACCUAAACCCUCUUUGUAAAUGAAGUGAGCCUAGAGAAUUGGAAACACAACAGCCGCAAAAGGCCGGAGCUCGCAGCAACUGCUUCAAGCUGCAUAUGACAUAAAACUGGAUUAUAAUGUCAUCCGCUAACUGACAGAUCAUUUAGUGUCUUGGAAGAGUCUGUUUUCACACUGUGGAAGCUCUCACAGGGGAAUUCCGUGUGGGCUUCUUAUUGUCAGAGCUAUUUUUCACCCAAUUUGUUUCCAAAUGAUGUCUAACCUGAGGUCUUCCCACUGAGAGAGGUUUAAGCCAUGAUUAAUGAGGAGUGUUUGGCCAGGCCCACCUGGGAAAUGGCCCAUCUGCAAACUCAGGUAAGACUGGGAGGCCUACAAGGCAUCAGCUUGUGAACGGUAGGCAGCUUCCCAUGGCUCCAGGCAAUCUCACAGCGGAUGCAAGGUGUUCGGCGUUACCCGCAUAAAGUUUCAGGAGGCGCUGGGGAGAAGUGUCACAUUUGCUGUUUUUUUACCCUGAGAUGUUCAUGCGGGAAGUGCUCUCUGUCUUGACGUUAAAAGAAAAAAUUCCUGUUCCUCAAAUGUAUUUAUGCUCUUCAAAGCUUUCACAGAUAUGUAUGGCAAUAUAACCAAAUAGACCCGUACACAGAGAUACGGCUUUGUCUCAAAGGAUGAAAUUAUUGAGCAAGCAUGAGAUAAUUUUAUAAUACUGUGGCCUAAUUGGACGUGGUACGUGAAUGUAUACUGAUCUUUCUCUCUCUCUCUCUCUUUUUUUUACAUCAUGUACUUAAAACACACUGUUCUUUGUUGUAUUCAAAUGUAAUGAGAAUUAUUAUACAUAAUGUAUAUUUUUUAAAGAAAUCCUCUUCUCUGUAAAAUAAAUACUGAAGGGUAUUUUUUUUUUUAACCUGUAAAAUGUUGCCUGAUUUGGAAUCUUUGAAAGAGAUAUCCUUUCACUAAAGGUCAAAAAAAUUUUUUAAAAAUAUGCAGAAAUCUAAAAUUAUAUCAGCACAAAUUGGAUAAAGAGCUCCAGACUCUUUUAAAAUACCUACCUGAAAAAAAUGAGGAAAUAAGUGGAACAUAGCCAUUCUUAAUAACCCAGCCCAUUCCUUCUCUUAUUUAACAUGCACAUUCUAGGCUUUCUCUCUCGAGGUUGUCAUUAAAUAUGACAUCCCACAAUUCCGUCUGUCAGGACUAAAACCUAACAGACCCAACUGUCUCCACACAAAACAGAUUGUUUGCUGGGAACAUUUAUGACCCAUAAAGAGUGAGAGUUUAUCCUGGCAAAACAUCCCUUCUUGUAAACAACCAACAUUCCCUGAAUUUCACCAGUUGACUUUGCAUCCAUAUAUUUCUCACUUGGCACUUGGCUUCAUCCAAAGCUUCUUUGAUGGCAUUUUGUACCCAACUGUUGUGUAAAAGACACUUUCCAUCAAGUU
Loxodonta africana (African savanna elephant) is the source of this 18068-nucleotide long non-coding RNA. RefSeq lists it as uncharacterized. The record is from RefSeq and is a predicted model, not a curated record. Lineage: Eukaryota; Metazoa; Chordata; Mammalia; Proboscidea; Elephantidae. The transcript has 9 exons.